RNAcentral lists this non-coding RNA (59 nucleotides) under uncultured Amoebophrya. The record is from RNAcentral. Lineage: Eukaryota; Dinophyceae; Syndiniales.
AUUGAGACGCUCUAUCUAAAAAAAAAAAAAAAAAUUAAAAUUUAAAUCUUGCACAUUUU